CUCCAAGGUGAUUCCCUCUCCAAGGGGCCAACUAAUGCCCCUUUCCGGAACGUAGCAACUUGGAAGAAAACCUGGCAUGCCUAGGGUCCUUGGAGCGCAUGGGAUGUGUAUUUCCUUUGCCUUCCUUUGGCUGCCUACAUCA
This is a small nucleolar RNA of Jaculus jaculus (lesser Egyptian jerboa), 142 nucleotides long. Lineage: Eukaryota; Metazoa; Chordata; Mammalia; Rodentia; Dipodidae. The record is from Ensembl.